UAAUGGUACAUGCACUUUUACAAGUUGAUUGUACUGAAAUGUGUGUUAGCAGUGCCUGUACACAACCAUCAUAAAAUGAUAAAAAUCCAUCCAGUGUUUUUUUUUUAAUCUCCUUAUUUGUUUUACCCUGUCUCAAAUCAAGCCGUUCCGGACGCCCCUCCCACGAUGGUUGAUUGACAGCAGUGUUUCAACACAGACCCGCCCUUGCUCGUGAGCGAGCUGUCAAUCAUAGUCCGCGCGUCAUUGUUGAUAUACGCUGGAGCUGUCUAUGAGCAGAAUGGCGUCUAAGCGAUUGUGGUGUUCUGUUCUCGGGUGCAAUAAUGAACACAGCAGUCAUUUUGAUGUUCCUAAGUCCGAACCGCUGAAGACACAGUGGCUGAGUUUUGCUUUUGAAGGGAAUAUUCCCCACGAGCAACGUCAAUGUUUUCAUGUUUGCGGGAAUCAUUUUUCACCAGACUGCUUUAUAAAUGAAGGUCAGUAUAAAGCUGGUUUUGCUAAGAAGCUGCUCCUGAAAAAAGAAUCGGUACCAACUAUUCGUGUUCCUGCUGAACCUCCAGAAGAAGGAUUUGAGAGGAACAGAGACACAUCGACUGGGCACACUCCUCAGGAAGCUGGAGACGAGGGGAACCAGGACAUUCACUAAGGAGGAACAGAAAAAGUAACUCACACAAUUUGAAGGAGCCAAAAGCUGAAGAUGCACGGAGAGGUUAAGCAGGCAUCAGCACCGAGGGCCCAUCUGCUGGGCCCCUGUGGACGGGGUGCCGACAGGAACCAGGUCUAAGCAAGCAAUAACUGGCUGAUCCAUGCCAGGACGUGCCACCCUGUCCUGCCACUGCCACUGCCUAAAGUCAUCAGUUCCGCCAAGUACAAGAGAGGAGGAGAGGGGCAAGGACAAAUCAUGAGUGGAAUAAGAAAAUAAAGUAGCCGAGGUCUGCCACGGCAUGCUGUGCUUCCCAAAGCGGAGAGGAAGCGACAUGGACAGCUUGAUUGACCUUGUAGUGCAUUUCCUCGGCUGCUCUCCUGGCAGCGGUACAGAAGCGCGUCCCCUCCAUCGCCACUCCUGGUCAUGCAUGCGGGACGUUUGCAGCAGCCUGUAAUGGAUUAGAAGAACCAGUGGUGAGUCAUAACUGGAUGUCAUGGAUCUUAGAUUUUGACCGCAGCUCAUUAGAACACAUGUUGUGCCGGUUUCGAAAGGACAAGAGACCCAUAAUGCUUAGUGGUGACAAAGGAACAAGAUGGAAUCUCCUUUAUUGUGUCGUUAACGGAAGAUGACUGGAGAGAAUUGUUGGUAAUGUCCUCUGGGAGGAAAGCAAAGAGUCUAAUAAUCUACAAUGAAAGGAAUUUUUGUCAAUGACCUCUAGGAAUCACACACACACACACACACACACACACACACACACACAAGUCAGUUGUAAGACUAGAAGAGGAAAGCUUGUCAAGACAAACUUUGAAUGUUGGCUCAACAACUUUUGUCUGGAAAACAAUGGCUAGAUUGAGAAAGCAGUACAUCCUUUACAUUUUUUUUUUUUUUUUUUAUCAUCUCACUAUACUUUUUUUUUCUUGGA
Molecule: long non-coding RNA, 1565 nt
Organism: Onychostoma macrolepis
Lineage: Eukaryota; Metazoa; Chordata; Actinopteri; Cypriniformes; Cyprinidae
Exons: 5
Source: RefSeq, a predicted model, not a curated record